This 253-nucleotide ribosomal RNA is filed under the name uncultured bacterium. RNAcentral's name for it is "partial 16S ribosomal RNA". It matches the Rfam family "Bacterial small subunit ribosomal RNA", at positions 524 to 776 of the family's 1533-position model. The record is from RNAcentral.
UACGUAGGGGGCAAGCGUUGUCUGGAUUUACUGGGCGUAAAGAGCGUGUAGGCGGCCAAACAGGUCCGUUGUGAAAACUGGAGGCUCAACCUCCAGACGUCGACGGAAACCGUGUGGCUAGAGUCCGGAAGAGGAGAGUGGAAUUCCUGGUGUAGCGGUGAAAUGCGCAGAUAUCAGGAAGAACACCAAUGGCGAAGGCAGCUCUCUGGGACGGUACUGACGCUGAGACGCGAAAGCGUGGGGAGCGAACAGG